Sinocyclocheilus anshuiensis is the source of this 249-nucleotide long non-coding RNA. RefSeq lists it as uncharacterized. The transcript is spliced from 3 exons. The record is from RefSeq and is a predicted model, not a curated record. NCBI's taxonomy places the organism in Eukaryota, Metazoa, Chordata, Actinopteri, Cypriniformes, Cyprinidae.
AAGCCCGUUCAGCAGAGGUGAAUGUGAAAGGGACGCCGGAGGACGUGUGCACUGUUCGAUGCUCUGAAAACCAGGACGCUGAAGAUCAGCAGUUCCAGAGGACACACACACACACACACACACACACACACACAAGAACAGAGAGAGAUACUGCAGACCGACUGCUAUCAGUGUCCACAGUAGGGUAUGAGAGCGCUACAGCAUCAUGUGGUUUCUGAGAUGGAGGAGUGAGAGUUCGGCUGAAAACAC